UACGAGGGGGGCUAGCGUUGUUCGGAAUCACUGGGCGUAAAGCGUGCGCAGGCGGCUUCUCAAGUCAGGGGUGAAAGCCCAGAGCUCAACUCUGGAAUUGCCUUUGAGACUGAGUGGCUUGAGUACGAGAGAGGUGAGUGGAAUUCCCAGUGUAGAGGUGAAAUUCGUAGAUAUUGGGAAGAACACCGGUGGCGAAGGCGGCUCACUGGCUCGUAACUGACGCUCAUGCACGACAGCGUGGGGAUCAAACAGG
RNAcentral lists this ribosomal RNA (253 nucleotides) under uncultured bacterium. RNAcentral's name for it is "partial 16S ribosomal RNA". It matches the Rfam family "Bacterial small subunit ribosomal RNA", at positions 524 to 776 of the family's 1533-position model. The record is from RNAcentral.